This 435-nucleotide ribosomal RNA is filed under the name uncultured Flavobacterium sp. RNAcentral describes it as "bacterial SSU rRNA". It matches the Rfam family "Bacterial small subunit ribosomal RNA", at positions 358 to 790 of the family's 1533-position model. Lineage: Bacteria; Pseudomonadati; Bacteroidota; Flavobacteriia; Flavobacteriales; Flavobacteriaceae. The record is from RNAcentral.
GGAAUAUUGGACAAUGGGCGCAAGCCUGAUCCAGCCAUGCCGCGUGCAGGAUGACGGUCCUAUGGAUUGUAAACUGCUUUUAUACAGGAAGAAACAGCUCUACGUGUAGAACCUUGACGGUACUGUAAGAAUAAGGAUCGGCUAACUCCGUGCCAGCAGCCGCGGUAAUACGGAGGAUCCAAGCGUUAUCCGGAAUCAUUGGGUUUAAAGGGUCCGUAGGCGGUCAGAUAAGUCAGUGGUGAAAGCCCAUCGCUCAACGGUGGAACGGCCAUUGAUACUGUCUGACUUGAAUUAUUAGGAAGUAACUAGAAUAUGUAGUGUAGCGGUGAAAUGCUUAGAGAUUACAUGGAAUACCAAUUGCGAAGGCAGGUUACUACUAAUUGAUUGACGCUGAUGGACGAAAGCGUGGGUAGCGAACAGGAUUAGAUACCCUUG